UCAGGACGAACGCUGGCGGCGUGCCUAACACAUGCAAGUCGAGCGAGGAGAUUCCUUCGGGAUGAUCCUAGCGGCGGACGGGUGAGUAACACGUGGGCAACCUGCCUCAUAGAGAGGAAUAGCCUUCCGAAAGGGAGAUUAAUACCUCAUAACAUUGCAGUUUCGCAUGGAACAGCAAUUAAAGGAGUAAUCCGCUAUGAGAUGGGCCCGCGGCGCAUUAGCUAGUUGGUGAGGUAACGGCUCACCAAGGCGACGAUGCGUAGCCGACCUGAGAGGGUGAUCGGCCACAUUGGGACUGAGACACGGCCCAGACUCCUACGGGAGGCAGCAGUGGGGAAUAUUGCACAAUGGGGGAAACCCUGAUGCAAGCAACGCCGCGUGAGUGAUGACGGCCUUCGGGUUGUAAAGCUCUGUCUUCAGGGACGAUAAUGACGGUACCUGAGGAGGAAGCCACGGCUAACUACGUGCCAGCAGCCGC
Molecule: ribosomal RNA, 478 nt
Filed under: uncultured bacterium
Lineage: Bacteria
Description: bacterial SSU rRNA
Rfam family: Bacterial small subunit ribosomal RNA
Source: RNAcentral